This is a long non-coding RNA of Etheostoma spectabile (orangethroat darter), 547 nucleotides long. RefSeq lists it as uncharacterized. NCBI's taxonomy places the organism in Eukaryota, Metazoa, Chordata, Actinopteri, Perciformes, Percidae. The record is from RefSeq and is a predicted model, not a curated record. The transcript is spliced from 4 exons.
CACACGCACACACGCACUCGCACACACGUAACGCUAUAGUUUAGUUGUCUAAGAAAUAUUUUCUCUAGCAGCGUAAAACUCAUUUGCACUCCUCGCCACUAGGCGGCGACAUUAACCAGUGAAUUGCAGAGUGAACUCUAAGUGGAACUAGCGUGAGUUUUGCAAAACUGUUUACGACUUACGCUGGUAGAACUACGGUGCAACACUUGCCUUUCUUCUGUCAAUUAGAGUUCACAUUCAGCCCCUGCCUUGCUGCUUCAGACUGCAUUCUGCCGUGUUCGACUCCCUUUGGAGGAAAAACUGGAAACAAAACGCGUGGUGCCCACUGGCCACCAGCCUCGGGAUAUGGUCAUCACUCAAGUUUGCCCAGAGGAAGAGCCGCCGUCCCGCCUUUCUCGUAAAGAGCCCCCAGCCUCGAUGGAGUUUUUCUAAUUAAAAUAUGUGGCACCAGAGGACCUCUUCUGUCAUCUAUCUGUACCUGCUACAAUAGCAACUCGUACUGGAACAUUCUUUUUAAGUAAGUCUCAAACAAGGCAGAAUCGAUGCA